UGUCAGAAAUGUCCGUAGCGUCGACUGAGAUGGGGGAAAGGUAAAUCCGCCCCAUAAUUCAAGGUCGAAACUAGAGAGCAUUCAAGUUCUCGAAUUCACUGGAAGGACGUCCAAGAAAAGCUCCUAGGGUUGAAAACUAGUAACCGUACUGAAACUGACACAGGUAGGCGAGACGAGUAGUCUAAGGCGCUCGGGAUAAUGGUGGUUAAGGAACUCUGCAAAUUGACCCCGUAAGUUCGCGAUAAGGGGUGCCUCUAAAGGUGCAAGCCUUUGGGGGCCACAGUAAAUCGGCUCUAGCAACUGUUUAUCAAAAACACAGGACCCUGCUAACACGCAAGUGGAUGUAUAGGGUCUGACGCCUGCCCGGUGUUGGUAGGUUAAGGAAGAGGGUUAGCUCGUAAGAGUGAAGCUCGCAACCGAAGCCCCAAUAAACGGCGGCCGUAACUAUGACGGUCCUAAGGUAGCGAAGUUCCUUGUCGGGUAAGUUCCGACCUGCAUGAAUGGCGUAAUGACUGGAGCACUGUCUCAACCACCAACCCGGUGAAAUUGUAGUCGUGGUGAAGAUGCCACGUACCCGCGGUUAGACGGAAAGACCCCAUGAACCUUGACUGUAGGCUGAUAUUGGGCUGAGGUAUGUUUUGUGUAGGAUAGGUGGGAGGCUUCGAAGCGGUGGCGCCAGCCAUCGCUGAGCCAACGUUGAAAUACCACCCUGAAUAUGCUUUAGUUCUAACCUUGAUCCCGUGAAACCGGGCAAGGGACAGUGUCAGUUGGGCAGUUUGACUGGGGCGGUCUCCUCCAAAAGAGUAACGGAGGAGUACAAAGGCAUUCUCAGCCUGGUCGGCAAUCAGGCAUUGAGCGCAUUGGUAGAAGAAUGCUUAACUGCGAGACCCAUAAGUCGAGCAGAUGUGAAAGCAGGUCAAAGUGAUCCGGUGAUUCCGUAUGGAAGGGUCAUCGCUCAUCAGAUAAAAGGUACUCUGGGGAUAACAGGCUGAUCGCUACCGAGCGUCCACAGCGGCGUAGCGGUUUGGCACCUCGAUGUCGGCUCAUCACAUCCUGGGGGUGUAGAAGCUCCCAAGGGUUUGGCUGUUCGCCAAUGAAAGUGGUACGUGAGCUGGGUUCAGACCGUCGUGAGACAGGUCGGUCCCUAUCUGCCGUGGGCGUACGAAACUUGAGGAGCCUCUUCUUUAGUACGAGAGGAUUUGGAAGGACUCAGCUCUGGUGUACCAGUUGUCACGCUAGUGGCAUGGCUGGAUAGCUAUCUGGGGAAAGGAUAAACGCUGAAAGCAUCUAAGCGUGAAGCCCGCUCCAAGACAAGGUUUCGUAAGAGCAGAGCUCGAAAGUCCCCUUGAAGACGACAAGGUAACAUAGGCCGGAUGUGUAAGUGGGGUUAACCCAUUCAGCUUACCGGUACUAACGGACGAACGCUUGGCCAC
This 1433-nucleotide ribosomal RNA is filed under the name metagenome. RNAcentral's name for it is "bacterial LSU rRNA". It matches the Rfam family "Bacterial large subunit ribosomal RNA", at positions 1496 to 2925 of the family's 2925-position model. The record is from RNAcentral.